UUGAGAUUACAGCUUGGUUGUUGAAAGUAGACAAAAAGGAUUGUAUUUCAGUUCAUAAUAGUACUUUAUUUUGGAACUAUCACAGUAUCAUAAAUAAUUUGCUAACAGACACAAACAUCUCAGUGGUUAGCUUUCAGUGGCUAACCAUUUGUAAAGAAAAGCUCUAGAAAUGCUUAACAGCCUUGUGCUGAGAAAAUGAAUAUUCACAGUUGUUUGAAAAUAGUGUUUUGGAGACUUGAUACUUUUUUUUUUUUUUGAAAACUAAUGUUUCAAAGAUAAAACAUUCAAAUAAUUUGAACACGUCUGAUCAGAUGACAUUUGAAGAAGCUCAGGCCAAAGCUGAGCUGGGUCUGGUUUACUAACAAAUUAUAAAAAAAGAACACAAAAAUAAUUUCUACAGCAUCUUUCUCUGUUGAACACUGAUGGAGGGUAGGCAUCCACUACAGAUUGUGGAUGCAGCACCUUUUGUGCAGGCUUUGUAUGUGUGCUGCCAGGCUGUGGCAUGAGCAGCAGUGGGUAAGUAGAUGAGAUGUUAUGCAGUAAUAACAUGAGUCUUUGUUAGGCCUGUUAUUAAUCACUGACUGGUUGGGGUUUUCUGCAAUUGUGGUUCUGACCAAAGCAGAAAAUUGCAGUUGCUUAACAGAUUAGAUUUUACAUUUAAUUUGGCACAUGGCCUCUUUAAACAUAAAUCUAGACAUUAAGAAAUGUGAAGAAAGUGCUGCCUUUCAAAGAACACACUUGAUCCUGGAGUCUCACAGCAAAUACUCUCUUUCUUUGCAUUUCUUUACAUAUACUAGUCUGUGUGUUUAUUUGAUAAAAAGUUUAAGCAUAUGUACAAACAAAUGAAGCAAAAUCUUCAGAAUUCAUUCUAUUGAACUACAGUUGAUCUGCUAAAUUGUGGUAUGUCUGACAUGACAAGAGAUGACUGAGCUGGUAGAAAGUUCCCUGCACCAGUGAGCUGGAAGGCCUUGUUUCCUUUGCUUUCCCAGUCCUCCUCCUGGUCAUGUGGUCCCACACCUUCCAAGGCACCAUCACCAACAUUUGUGUUGAUUCAACUUGCCCGCUCCCAAGAAAGCUGUCUACGUUUUUGCUGGAUGAUUUACAAAGGGAUCUACUAAGCACCAGAACUGGUAUAAGUUUCUGUAGUGAGGGCACUAUGCAAAGAAAGCAGGAGGGAAAGAAGGAGCCAAAAGUCCUUGUUAUGUCUGUGAAGAGAUGAGGGAAGCUGUGCAAGGAGAGUGGGAAGGGACCAAGUGCUUGGGAACCAUGUCCGGGAAGGAAAAGAAAAAAAAAAAUUAAGCGGCAAACAGGUGAGUGUGUGCAAUAGCAGAUUAUGAAUAGACACAGAAAAGGAACUGGAGAAGGAAGAAGGUUCAAUAGCAAGUUAUAGGUAGAACAAUAAGAACAGAGAAAAAUCAAAUUAAAAGUUAAAUGUAAAGCAAAAGUAGUUAAAUAUAUUUUCAACAUGUACAAAAUGUACUGCAUCAAAAAUAGCCAAAAUAAAUCUGAUACUAUCCUGUUAUUUUUCAUGUAACCAAUUAGUGUAGUUGCCAUUGUGAAGUGAUGUAAUAGAUAAUGUGUUUUAUGGUAAAAUAGAGGAAUGGUGUGCACCUGGGGAAAAUCUGGGGAGGUUGCUCCCAGAGGGGUCAACAGCAAACUAAAUUGUACUUUAAACACUAAUGGAAGUACUGUUGCUUCCCUUGUUGGUACAUCAUAGGGCCCACUGUUCCCAGCUGGAGCUAGUCUUUUGCUGACAUUUCAGUAUUUUGCCAAAUUAGUCAGGGCAGUUUUGCAGUAAUUGUUUUUGACAUUUCAAAGUGAAUGGGCUGGCUUUCUAUUAAAUGGACACAGAGAUUAAAAGUUAGAUGGGAAACUUUAUUAAUCUGAGUUUUGGCUAGCUUCCUUUGAAAAAAGUAAGUAAUGUCAGAAUGCUGUAAAUCUGCUCAGCUUCCAUGUAAUUUGCAGAAUUGUUGAAAUCCAGUAGAUACAAACUCCUCAUUUUUUUGCAGCUGGGAGCUGUACAGCUAAAGUCAUAAUAUUGUAAACAGGUGAUAUAAAAGACAUUUUCCAAAGAACUGGGAUCCUAUUUUCCCAAGACUUAAUGGGAAUGAAGCAUCUAUACCCCACUAGCUGUAUUCCAAGUCUCAGGUUAGUUGACUCAUGAAAAAGCUUCAUUGGAUGCUCAAAUAUAGGAGGGGAUUCUGAUGUUGGGGGAGCUUUAACCAGCUAGCUCAGCUCACCUUGUGUGGUUGGGAGAAAAAGUACAAAUCUUACUAUUGUCUUCCAGUGGGCAAAACAAGAGUGGCUUAAUUUAGUGUAAUGUGUUGUCCUCACAGUAGUGAUCUUUCUCACUUCACUAAUCCUAAGAAUGUGGGUAUUUUUCAGCCACGUUAUUGUGUUAACUCUUCUCACCUAAGGUCUGGUGAAAGUCAAGGAAGAUGAAAGGGUACAACGCCUGGGUCAGUUGGCUUAUUUGUCUUGAAGACUUCAUCUUUUGUGACUGCAGUUCAUGGUUCAGAACCUCAUAUACUCAAGUGAACAAGAGCAGUGAAGUAGGAAGCUUCUGUCCAGAGCAGAAAUUGCCAGUGUUCAAGGAAAACAAACCAUGAGCCUUUUUCCCUGUUGCUAGGUGCUAUAUGGCAUGAAGAAGAGUGCAUGCUGUUACCAGCUUCAUUAAAAAAAAAAAAAAAAAAAAAAGGGUUGUUGUGUCAGAGAUUUAUCAUAGGCUGAAUUAGCAUUUUCUCUUUUGCUAUGAUGAACCAGCAUAAAUGUUUAUUUGGAAAUUGUUUUACAAAAUAAUGUAGAGGCUAGCAGAGUUUAAAAUAUUGCUAUGUCUCCCCCAAGAAAAUGACAGCACUGAACAUCAAAGUUACAGUUAAAAUAUAACCAGUGACAAAUGCAUUCAAAAGGCUUUGUCAGAUGAGUAGAAGGAAAUAUGUUCAUAAGAUUAAGUAACAAGAACUGUUUACACAGGUCAAAAAUAACUGGAAACAGUCAGAAGUUACCACCUGAAUAAAAAGCAGGGUAUUUGAGAAAAUGUGCUUAAAUUUUUUGAGAGGAAAAUACAUACAAGUUCUUGAUUGUGAAAAUUAUAAUAGUGGUAACUUUGCAUAUGCUAGGAAUUAAUUGAAAGACAUUUACAGUGUAGAAAGGGGAAGCUUGGAAGUAUUUGAAAAAUGGCUUUUAAACCUGGGGUUUCCUACCUGUUCUCUACAGCACAUAGAACAAGUGAGGACAGCAGCAAUAAAAGUUGUGUUGGCAGAUGAGACUGGAUAGAAAGGUGGUGGUUUUAGUGCUGUUGUGUUUCUUUUUUUAAAAAAAGUUUUAAAUGAACUUGUACUGUUGAUCAAAGUAAUCAAACAGUGUUGCUAAUAACCUCCUACAGGUAAUUAAUGCAGCUUAUUCACAGCUGGUAAUCUGAGGAAAGAUAAGGGAUUUUCCUGUGCUUUCCAAAUUUCAAGUACUCUUUUUAAGGGUAGAUGAGCCUCAAACAUUCUAGCUAAUGUAAGUAGGCAUUAUUAAAACAAUAGAAUACUCUAAAUCAGGUUUGGCAACAGCAUUGUGGUAAAUAAUUUGGCAGAGCAUUAUACUUUUUAUUACCUGAAGUGAUCAGUUAUUUAAUUUUUGGCUCCAAUCCCAGUUCAGCUAAAGCCAAUAGAAAGCUUGCCAUAGACUUUGAUAGCAGCUGAAUCAAAUGCUUCAUGACUCACGUUUCCAUGAACUGUGGUGAGGAAAUGUGCUUUCAUUUGGUACUUUGGUUUUGCUCUUCUAAUGAAUUCACACAAAAAAACCCCCAAAAAUAGACAUACAUACUCCUUAUACUACUAUUAAUUAGAGGAUUUGAUAAAUCAAAUAGUAGGCUUGCUUGUUUCACUGAAGCAAAAAAACAGAUUAAGUGAUUUAUUUUUCAGUUGACAGAGGCUACUUUUCUGACCCUGUUAUUUGCUCUAACUAAUAAUCUGUCCCAAUUUAUAAGAAGUUGCAUGCUGUAAGCUUGUUUGGUGCUGAAAGGGCAACACAGAAUGCUUUUGGAAAAUUGUUCAAGGUGAUGGCUAGCUGCAUGUAGUAUGACAUGUUUAAACCUGUUCUAAGAGAAACACAAUUUAAGUACUAUGUAAUUUUUCCUAGUGUUUUGUUUAGACACUUCUGUUUUCAACUGUCGUAGUAGAUCUCUGUUAAUUCACUUAAAAUCCACUGCCUUUCCUACUGGCCCUUGAAAGAAUGUCUGGAAGUCAAAACACUGAUGAUUUACAUCUGUACACAAAUUAGAUUAAACUUGCUGCAGCUUUGCUCAAAAACUACCUCCUCCUCCCACCUCAGGACACUUAUAUUUGCUGUUUUCUAUAUUCUAAUAGCAACUGCAUUUUCAAAGGAGACCACAUGUAAAACUUAGAAAUGUGGCGACACUUCUGAAUUCACAAGUCACCAUAGUCAACCUCUUGUUGAUUUUUUUCCUCUAACCCCAAUGAAUCAGGAGUUCCAAAAAGUGACGAGAAUCAAGUCUUACAGAAUAUUAACCUCUAAGAACUUCAAAAUGCUUUUACAAGUAGGACCACAGUGAAUUGAAGCUAUCCCAACAAGGGGAUUCCCCCAUCUCUCAAGAAGAAAG
Grus americana (Whooping crane) is the source of this 4609-nucleotide long non-coding RNA. RefSeq lists it as uncharacterized. The record is from RefSeq and is a predicted model, not a curated record. Lineage: Eukaryota; Metazoa; Chordata; Aves; Gruiformes; Gruidae. The transcript is spliced from 3 exons.